GGGAUUAGCUCAGCUGGCUAGAGCGCCUGCCUUGCACGCAGGAGGUCAUCGGUUCGACUCCGAUAUUCUCCACAACCCCAGU
Molecule: transfer RNA, 82 nt
Filed under: uncultured Bacteroidota bacterium
Lineage: Bacteria; Pseudomonadati; Bacteroidota
Description: uncultured Bacteroidetes bacterium tRNA-Ala
Rfam family: tRNA (bases 1-72)
About the family: Transfer RNA (tRNA) molecules are approximately 80 nucleotides in length. Their secondary structure includes four short double-helical elements and three loops (D, anti-codon, and T loops).
Source: RNAcentral